GAACGCCGUAGCAAUACGGAGUGGCAGACGGGUGAGUAACGCGUGGGAACCUUCCCAAUGGUACGGAAUAGCUCAGGGAAACUCGAGGUAAUACCGUAUACGCCCGAAAGGGGAAAGAUUUAUCGCCAUUGGAUGGGCCCGCGUAGGAUUAGCUAGUUGGUGAGGUAAUGGCUCACCAAGGCGACGAUCCUUAGCUGGUCUGAGAGGACGACCAGCCACACUGGGACUGAGACACGGCCCAGACUCCUACGGGAGGCAGCAGUGGGGAAUAUUGGACAAUGGGCGCAAGCCUGAUCCAGCCAUGCCGCGUGAGUGAUGAAGGCCUUAGGGUUGUAAUGCUCUUU
RNAcentral lists this ribosomal RNA (344 nucleotides) under uncultured Alphaproteobacteria bacterium. RNAcentral's name for it is "bacterial SSU rRNA". It matches the Rfam family "Bacterial small subunit ribosomal RNA", at positions 64 to 436 of the family's 1533-position model. The record is from RNAcentral. Lineage: Bacteria; Pseudomonadati; Pseudomonadota; Alphaproteobacteria.